UGAUAGCGUGGAAGCGGAGGUUGCUGUAAACGCAGGUUUACAGGUUAUUUCGUGGAGCGAAUGUCAAGUUCAGAGAAACUGACGACAA
RNAcentral lists this non-coding RNA (88 nucleotides) under uncultured Eubacterium sp. Its description in RNAcentral is "S10-Clostridia ribosomal protein leader". It matches the Rfam family "S10-Clostridia ribosomal protein leader". The record is from RNAcentral. Lineage: Bacteria; Bacillati; Bacillota; Clostridia; Eubacteriales; Eubacteriaceae.